UACGUAGGGGGCAAGCGUUGUCCGGAAUUAUUGGGCGUAAAGAGCUCGUAGGCGGUUUGUCGCGUCUGCUGUGAAAACCCGAGGCUCAACCUCGGGCCUGCAGUGGGUACGGGCAAACUAGAGUGCGGUAGGGGAGAUUGGAAUUCCUGGUGUAGCGGUGAAAUGCGCAGAUAUCAGGAGGAACACCGGUGGCGAAGGCGGGUCUCUGGGCAGUAACUGACGCUGAUGGACGAAAGCUAGGGGAGCGAAAGGG
RNAcentral lists this ribosomal RNA (253 nucleotides) under uncultured bacterium. RNAcentral describes it as "partial 16S ribosomal RNA". It matches the Rfam family "Bacterial small subunit ribosomal RNA", at positions 524 to 776 of the family's 1533-position model. The record is from RNAcentral.